Molecule: ribosomal RNA, 117 nt
Filed under: Spirochaetota bacterium
Lineage: Bacteria; Pseudomonadati; Spirochaetota
Source: RNAcentral
CUCGGUGGUUAUAGAGAGAGGGUCACACCUGUUCCCAUUCCGAACACAGAAGUUAAGCCUCUCAUCGCCGAUGGUACUGCAUGGGUAGCUGUGUGGGAGAGCAGGACGCUGCCGGGG